This 1443-nucleotide long non-coding RNA is filed under the name Bos indicus x Bos taurus (hybrid cattle). Its description in RNAcentral is "lncRNA (ENSBIXG00000001534.1)". The record is from RNAcentral. Lineage: Eukaryota; Metazoa; Chordata; Mammalia; Artiodactyla; Bovidae.
CCCGCCCCCGCGGCACCACCGCCCCCCCCGGGGCGGGUGCCGGGCCGAGCUGACCGGCGGCGGGUGCGCUGCCCUCGCCUCCCCCAUUGUUCCGACUGUCUUUUUGCCUUUUGUUAUUUGCACUCGCAUUGUGUUGUUUGUCUCUGAAGCCGCCUCAUGACCAGCCAAGGGAUUUCACCUCGUCCUUGAGAGCUACACGGGGAGCGCGAGCGAGCGAGCCAGAGACUGGGGGAGAGGGACGCGCGCGCGCACACACAGACACACACACACAGACACACAUACAGAGUGAAAAAGGCGAGCCACCAAACCCAUCUCCAGUCUCCUCCCGGGGGCCCCCCAGCCCGCCACUGUGCCACUUUGCAUCCCGCGCCCGAGGAGACGCAGAGGAAAGCCGGCUUCUUAAUCAUCCACGGUGUAAAGACACACUUCAAGAGGAUCUUUAGAAGUGUUGGACAAGCUUCACCACGCGUGGCAGGUAUGUGUCUACACAACUGAGUGUGCAAGGAAUGUAACUUGUUUUAUUUUCUACAGUUAGAUCUAAAUUAUAUAUUAACCCUUCGUCUGGCCACGUGGAAGCAAUUUGAGGUUGCAUCCUAAUUCUAGGUAAGAUUUUGAAGGUGAGGGGUGACAUAUCUGCUCCUAUGCUCUCAUCUCUCCACAAGUCAUGGUUGUCCUCUUAUCCUGCAUCAGCACUCAUGAGCCACUGCUGAGGCACACCUUGAUCUUUCUUUGAGCAUUUUUUCCUUUCCUUCUCUUGGCUUCUUCCAGAUACUCCCUGGAUGCAUGAUGGUGUGCUGCUGCUGAACCAGAAGAAAGUCUCUGGGGUGGCAUAGAGCUCUGUGCUCCUUGCAUGACACUGUGAAGCCCCUGGGCCUUGUUCUAUUGCUCCUGGUCAUGCUACUCCAGGCAGUCCUUGGCAGACCUGAUCAGGUCCACCUGCGAUAUAUCACUUAGUCAUUUCAAAGGUCCAGACCUCAUCCAAGAAAGAAAAUCCAUUCCAUCUGCCAUUAUUUUAUACCAUCAUAUUUAGCAAAGAUUGAGGGCAGGAGGAGAAGGGGGGCAACAGAGUAUGAGAUGGUUGGAUGGCAUCAUCGACUCAGUGGAUAUGAGUUUGAGCAAACUCUAAGAGAUAGUGAAGGACAGGGAAGGCUGGCGUGCUGCCGUCCAUGCAGUUGCAAAGAGAUGGACAUGACUGAGCAACUGAACAACCCUGUUAAAAUAUUUUGAACAGCACAACUUAGGAAAUCAAUCUAAACACAAUUUACAUUUUUUUUUCCUGUUGUUUCUUUAAAAUGCACUGGGAAAAGGGAAGUGGAUAUUCUCUUGCCUUUGCAUGAAAUUUAGGCCUCAAGUAGGCUCCAUACCUGGUAAGAUUACUCUUAGAUUUAAAAAAUUUCUAUCUACAUUUUAAAUCACAAACAUUGUGUACAUUCAGAAAUUAGA